This 400-nucleotide ribosomal RNA is filed under the name uncultured bacterium. RNAcentral's name for it is "bacterial SSU rRNA". It matches the Rfam family "Bacterial small subunit ribosomal RNA", at positions 355 to 746 of the family's 1533-position model. The record is from RNAcentral.
UGGGGAAUCUUCCGCAAUGGACGAAAGUCUGACGGAGCAACGCCGCGUGUAUGAUGAAGGUCUUCGGAUUGUAAAGUACUGUCUUUGGGGAAGAACGGUCUUCUUGAGAAUAUUAAGGAGACAUGACGGUACCCAAGGAGGAAGCCCCGGCUAACUACGUGCCAGCAGCCGCGGUAAUACGUAGGGGGCAAGCGUUGUCCGGAAUUAUUGGGCGUAAAGGGCGCGUAGGCGGAUACUUAAGUCCGGUGUGAAAGAUCAGGGCUCAACCCUGAGAGUGCAUCGGAAACUGGGUAUCUUGAGGACAGGAGAGGAAAGUGGAAUUCCACGUGUAGCGGUGAAAUGCGUAGAUAUGUGGAGGAACACCAGUGGCGAAGGCGACUUUCUGGACUGUAACUGACGC